UACGUAGGGGGCAAGCGUUGUCCGGAAUUAUUGGGCGUAAAGCGCGCGCAGGCGGUUCUUUAAGUCUGGUGUUUAAACCCGAGGCUCAACUUCGGGUCGCACUGGAAACUGGGGGACUUGAGUGCAGAAGAGGAGAGUGGAAUUCCACGUGUAGCGGUGAAAUGCGUAGAUAUGUGGAGGAACACCAGUGGCGAAGGCGACUCUCUGGGACGGUACUGACGCUGAGACGCGAAAGCGUGGGGAGCGAACAGG
This 252-nucleotide ribosomal RNA is filed under the name uncultured bacterium. RNAcentral describes it as "partial 16S ribosomal RNA". It matches the Rfam family "Bacterial small subunit ribosomal RNA", at positions 524 to 776 of the family's 1533-position model. The record is from RNAcentral.